RNA transcript from Monopterus albus (swamp eel), 3008 nucleotides. It is a transcript of the gene named serine and arginine rich splicing factor 2b, with no coding region annotated. The record is from RefSeq and is a predicted model, not a curated record. The transcript has 4 exons. Lineage: Eukaryota; Metazoa; Chordata; Actinopteri; Synbranchiformes; Synbranchidae.
CAGUUUAAAUUACACCGUCGUAUUUAUGUUGACGAACAAGCAGGCUCCAUCGUAGCCACAGUAUAAACAGUUUUGAGGAAGACUGCCAGGCUUCACGCGUUAGUCACCAUGAGUUACGGUCGGCCUCCGCCAGACGUCGAUGGCAUGACUUCCCUCAAAGUCGACAACCUCACUUACCGAACAUCGCCCGAAGCACUCAGACGUGUUUUCGAAAAGUAUGGCCGGGUAGGAGACGUCUAUAUUCCCCGAGACCGCUACACGAAAGAAAGCCGGGGAUUUGCGUUUGUGCGGUUUCACGACAAACGCGACGCCGAAGAUGCGAUGGACGCUAUGGACGGCGCACUCCUGGAUGGACGAGAGUUACGUGUCCAGAUGGCCCGAUAUGGUAGACCCCCUGACUCCUACUACGGUGGAGGGCGGCGAGGGGGACCACCCAGGAGGUAUGGCGGUUAUGGACGCCGAAGCGGAAGCUAUUCCCCCAGCCCAAGGCACAGAAGACGGAGCAGAUCCCGCAGCAGGAGCCGCUCUCGUUCCAGAAGCCGAUCCCGCUACAGCAGGUCCAGGUCCCGGUCCUACUCAAGAUCCAAGUCCCACUCUCCCAAAAGUAAGAAGACCGAGGCCAAGUCCCAUUCUCGUUCCAGAUCGAGAUCCAGGUCUCGUUCCAAGUCUAGGUCAAGAAGCCGUACCCCUUCCUCCAAUAGAGGAUCAAGGUCUAGAUCUAAAAGCCAGCCCAAGUCAGCAGAAAAUGGAGGUGAAUCCCCGUAGAAGUCAACACGUCAGUAACAGAACAGUUCUGAUAUUAAAACACAUCUGGACUUCUCUUCUUCCCAAGCUGCGGCACCAGUUUGCUAAAGUGGCGUUUGAGCUGAGCUGAGGCAGUAUGAGCGGUUAGAAGUUUCAGGUGAAGACUUCAGAAUUUCAUGUCCCAGACUGGAUUCCCACACAAGCACCAGUUGUAUUGAAGGCUGUUACGGUGUCUUCCAUGCUUUAGUCAGUUUUAUUUAAGGGCUUUCCAUUUCAUUUCAUUGUGCUUUGGAUUUUAAUUUCUUUUUAUAACAUUUAUGGUUUUAAAAAUCACGUUGACUGUGAAGAAUGUGUUGGGGCCUGAAUUUCAAAUGAGCGAUCAAGAUAAUACAAGCAUGUCCCGUUGAUCUCUGUUUCCUCUGUCCUUUGAUAAAUGGUGUCAUAGUUGCCACCCAAUCACAUGCAGCAUCACAAAAGUGGAAUAAGAAUUUAAUCAUACUUGUGAAUAAAUUAGGCUGUUACAGUGCCAGUUCAUUUCAGUUAGGUAAGAUAAUGAUAAUUAUAUUAACUUCAUUACUGAAUCUUAUUAGUUAAUGAUGACUGUGGGCAUGCCUCUUCCUAAUGUUAUCGCCCCUGUUGUAAACUCAAACUGGACAAAUGUGCUGUAUGUAGGGUUGCAGUGGUAUGAGGAUUUUCACGGUAUAACGGUCUCAGAAAAUAUCAGUUUCACCUUAUUACAGUACACAGUUAAUAUCUGCUAGAGUGACCCUCAAAUGCAUGAAAACAGAACAAAAAGCAUUUAACUAAAGUUAUUUUGCAUCUUAGUAGAGGACAUAUUCACAUCAUUCAGUAAAAAUACUAUCACACUGUGAAAGUAGUCAGCUUUGUUACAAGUAAAGGUCCUGCAUUGAACAUGUCCACUAAAAGUGUUAUCAUGAAAAUGUACUUAAAGUAUUAAAGGUAGAAGUUAGCUACUCAGAGCAGAAAAUGUUAUAGAUACUAUACUGUUGGAUCAUUACGUUAAAGGACUGUCAGUCAUGCACUGAUGUAAAAGCAGGAUUUUUUUUUUUCCUUCAAUACUGGUAAUAAACAAAUGUGCGCGGUGUGAUAACCAUCAAUUUUCAUACCAUGGUGUACCGUAAAACAGAUAUACCACUACAACCCUAGCUGUAUGUUCUGCUUCUCUUACCUUUGUAUAGAGUUAUCACGGUUUGUCUGUGACAUUCUAACAAAGUAAAAUGUCAGUGUCAGAAAAACUACAAAUAUAGCCAAAGCGACACUUUCAUUCUCUUGUCUUGUUUUGUCCAACGAAUAGUCCUAAAUCUAAACCUGUUUAGUUUACACUGAUAUAAAACAGAAAAGCUGCAUAUCUUCACAUUUAAGAAGCUGAAGCCAGAGAAUUAGUUUUUCUUUUGCUGUUAAAAGGUUUGAGCUAUUAACAUGUAAUACCCUGUUGUCACUUAAACAAGUGUACAUGUGCAGAUAAUGUGAAAAUUUAGGUCUUUAGUUUAGUCACUGAGCUCUUCAUGAAUACCAGAAAGCCCAGGUGAAACCCAAACUUAUUUGGCUAACACACUGAUCUGGCUUUUGUGGUGUCAGCAUAAUGGGAAUAAAACUUUUUUCUACCAAUAUAAACACAUUUUAAUCAUUUUAUUUAAUAACGACUCUAAACAUAUCUUUUCAUUUUUUUAUUCUAAACCUGCUUGUAACGUCAUUUUUGUUUUUGUGCACUAGACACAGUUGUGUAUUGCUGAUUAGCUGUAAAGGUGGUAUGUUGCGCUGCUGAGUGCUUGGAUAUAUCCAGUGUUCUCCAGAAUCCUGUAAAUACCAGUCUUAUUGUUGCUGCAAUCUCGCCCUGUGUACAGUGAAAUGGUUUCCUGACUUGGUCAUGCUAGACAGAUGUGACAUUAAAGAGCUGGCAUUUUGUCUAUAAUGGCCUCUUAUUGUGUUUAAAUGUGUGAUAGUAAAAUACUAUAAAGGGACAGCUGCUGUGGUGCUGCUGAAAGUUGUACAUGACAACUACAUCCUUUAAAAUGACUGUUGGAUCAGUUGUAUGCAAAUGAUUGAGCUAAUUUUUGUUAAAGUAAAUACAACCCCUACUGUACACAAAAAUUACAAAUUGGUAUGUCUACGUUUUAAUGCACUUUACAUUUUAUUUUAUGAACAUAAAAAAAAAAAAAUUAUACUGCGCUUAUUGCAACUACACAGGCUGCUACUGCGUCAGCAGGCCUACUUGGUAACUGCCCUUUGGCAGAUUUAACAGU